UACGUAGGGGGCAAGCGUUGUCCGGAUUUAUUGGGCGUAAAGAGCGUGUAGGCGGCCAGACAGGUCCGUUGUGAAAACUUGAGGCUCAACCUCGAGACGCCGAUGGAAACCGUCUGGCUAGAGUCCGGAAGAGGAGAGUGGAAUUCCGAGUGUAGAGGUGAAAUUCGUAGAUAUUCGGAGGAACACCAGUGGCGAAGGCGGCUCACUGGUCCGGUACUGACGCUGAGGUGCGAAAGCGUGGGGAGCAAACAGG
This 253-nucleotide ribosomal RNA is filed under the name uncultured bacterium. Its description in RNAcentral is "partial 16S ribosomal RNA". It matches the Rfam family "Bacterial small subunit ribosomal RNA", at positions 524 to 776 of the family's 1533-position model. The record is from RNAcentral.